Long non-coding RNA from Oncorhynchus masou masou (cherry salmon), 1078 nucleotides. RefSeq lists it as uncharacterized. The record is from RefSeq and is a predicted model, not a curated record. NCBI's taxonomy places the organism in Eukaryota, Metazoa, Chordata, Actinopteri, Salmoniformes, Salmonidae. The transcript is spliced from 5 exons.
GGUGUAGGCUGCUAUGCUGGCCUGGAACAACGACUUUCACCUCUCUAAAACCGGAAUGGUUUUGGUAAACACUGCUUUUAAGAUAAAAUAUUUUUGGUGACCACUCGUUUUGAGUGGAGGCUGAAUGAGGGCCACUGCCAAGUCAGGCCCAAUCGUAGAGUUUUUAAAAUGUAGGCCUAAUAUUAUAUUUGGCGCAAUCUUUUUCCUUCUAUAGGAAAACAAGGGGUACUGUUGUAGCCUACUCAGUCUGCUACGCCCUCUUGUGGCAGAAAAAAAAGUCUUUCCACUUUUCUCCAAUAUGGCAAGGAACGCCCACCAGGAACGCCCACCAGAAACGGCCUAGAGAGAGUCUGCAGUCACACAUUUUCUAUUUUCGCGCGCUAAUCUCAUCCGUUACUAAUCCAAACUAGUAACGUCGACGUGGCCCGCGAGCUAGAUGUAAAUAUUGACGAAUUGGAAAUUUAUCACACAUGUUAUGGAGACAAGUUGCUUCUCUGAUAUCGACAAUGACUCGGCGUCAAUUGUUGGUGAUUCUGAAGGAGAAGAAGAAACAAAUCUUUACCUGGACAGAUUGAUGCUUGCAGAUUUGCUAGACUCGCCCUACUCAUAUAAUUUAUCCACACCACACACCAUCAAUGGCUGUACAGACGGGUUUUCUCCUCAGAUAGCGAUGUUGACUUGUAGACGUUUGGAUGGCUUGGACCAAGUGCGUCUCACACCUGAAAAGAUCCAAUCCCCAUUUUUGUCAAGGAGUUCUGGGAAUCCAGAUGACGAGAAGGGAAUGGACGGUGUAAUCGCUCAAGGACAUGAUGGAGGUGUGUGUGUGUUUGUGUGUGAGUGUUCAAGGCUGCCGCGCUAGCAGGCAUUUGCACAUAUUACACUCUGAAUGUGUGCCUGCCCUGUCUAGUCCUACUGAAGACUAUUCAUUUAUGGUAGUUUAUCACCAGUUGUAGAAUGAAGCAACUGCUUUUGGUGGCACUUACAGUAUCAAUCAAUGAAUCAAUCAAAUGUAUUUAUAAAGCCCUUCUUACAUCAGCUGAUGUCACAAAGUGCUGUACAGAAACCCAGCCUAAAACAG